This 1408-nucleotide long non-coding RNA is filed under the name Vulpes vulpes (red fox). RNAcentral describes it as "lncRNA (ENSVVUG00000027298.1)". The record is from RNAcentral. Lineage: Eukaryota; Metazoa; Chordata; Mammalia; Carnivora; Canidae.
GGAGAGGCAUUAAAAACUCAUCAGUGCCAGGCUGAGUCUUUCUCCUUGUAAGACUCAGCUGGGUGAAAGUAAACAGGAAGGAGAUGGUUUUUUCACCAUGUGACUUCAGCCCAUUUAAGUCCAUUCAGUUUUCUAGAGGAAAUCGUCUUGCAGCUCCCCAGCAGUGACAACUUCCAAGAACCCCGGUGUUGUUUGUUGCAGAGGCUACACAAUGACUAUGAGGACUUUGCCUUUUAAGAAGUCAGCAUCCGAAACUGUGAGGCACCCAGGCAGAGUGCCUUCCUAGAGGCAGGGCCCCCCAGGACAGGACACAUGCACGGGGUGUAGGAUCUGCCCUCCCAGGUCAGGAGGAGAGAAGACAAUCCCUCCUGCUAGGUUAUUACCAGUGACAGGCCCUGCUGGGGAGCCCCACUCUGAGGAUGACCCGGGAUGCGCCACCCUGGCACCGGGAUGAGCAUGGAAGGCCCAGCCUGACUCAGCCAGCCCCGCCCCGUCGGGCAGCAUGCUGUCUGCCCUGCGCCAGUGAACCCCAGGUCGGCAGGGGCUUUGUGUGGGAGGUGGUAACUGAGCAGAAGAGGUCAUAAAGCCUCCUGGGGACCCAGCUAGUCCCAGAGCAGGAGGGCCCAGGGUUUUUUGCAGGCGACCCUGGUACUCCUAAGUUUCACCCCAUCCGAAGAAAUAAAUCAGGUACAAGCCAAACAUGGCCCAGGGCAGCAAAGUGGAUGCUUUUUGGCUCAAGAAUUAUCAGCCACAGUCACAGUGAGAUGGAUUCAGGGCACAGGCUUAUGCACGGAGUGCCAGCACGCUGCACAAAGAGACGGGGAAGAGGGACAGAAGGGGACCAAGAGCGGAGGAGAUGUGGCUGCUAUACCGCCAUGCCCUCAGCACACCCAGCUGGAAGUGCCAGGGAGUUCAUGCCUCCGCCCCUCUGCCCACAGGAACAGCCCCGAGGGGUGACCAGGAGUACCCCUGGUUGCUCUAAGGCACAUUCCCCCCAUCUUCCAGGGCUCCCCUUCCCUGUGGCUGCUUCCUGAUGUCACCUUCCAACAUACUCCUUGCACUCAAAUUCUCGUCUUAGGGGCUUUAUGUUUUCCCAUCUUAUGGUUAAGGCUUUAAUCCUGCUUGAGUUGAUCUUUGUAUAUGGUGCCAAGUAAGGAUCCAAUUUUAUUCUUUUGUAUGUGGGUAUCCAGUCUCUCUGACAUCAUUUAUUAAAGAGAUAAUCGGGAUGCCUGGGUGGCUCAGCAGUUGAGCAUCUGCCUUCGAUUCAGGGUAGGGAUCCUCGGAUCCAAGGAUUGACUCCCGUAUCUGGCUCCCUGCGAGGAGCCUGCUUCUCCCUCUGCCUGUGUCUCUGCCUCUCUCUGUGUUUCUCAUGAAUAAAUAAAUAAAAUCUUAAAAUAAAAUAAAAUAA